This 382-nucleotide long non-coding RNA is filed under the name Parus major (Great Tit). RNAcentral's name for it is "lncRNA (ENSPMJG00000002444.1)". Lineage: Eukaryota; Metazoa; Chordata; Aves; Passeriformes; Paridae. The record is from RNAcentral.
CCGCACUUGGGGGUCAGUUCCUGCCCCACUCGUGCCUCAGUUUCCCCGCACUUGGGGGUCAGUCCCUGCCCCACUGCCGGCUCCGCUGUGGGGCCGCAGGGCCGGGGGUCACUGCAGGGUCCCCCUGUGGGGCACCGUGGAGCUCUGUGGGUCACUCUGGGGCAGCGCCGGACGCUGGGGGUCACUGCUGGGGCUCCGUGGGUCACUCCAUGGGUCACUGCUGGGGCUCCGUGGGUCACUCCGUGGGUCACUUGUGGGUCGCUGUGGGUCACUUGUGGGUCGCUGUGGGUCACUCCAUGGGUCACUCAUGGGUCGCUGUGGGUCACUUGUGGGUCGCUGUGGGUCACCCGUGGGUCGCUGUGGGUCACUCCGUGGGUCACCC